AGACGACGCGGCCUCUCUCCCAAUCUCGCGCGCCACCUCAGCCACCGCCACCGCCACCGCCGCGGCGCCAUGGCCAGCGUCGCCUCCUCCACCGUGUUCGCCUCCUCCCUCCCCCACCACCGGGCGACGACGAGGGCGCCUCCAACGCCGCCGCGCAUCCCGCGCCGCGCCAGGCUCCCCGGCCGCUCGGUGGUGAGCUGCCUUCCGAAACGGGGGUCGGAGAAGCUUGUGGUCACUAGGGCAUCGGAUGAGGAGGGGCCGCCUGAGCCGGCGGGCCAGGGCCGGGGAGGGGGAAGAGCCUGGCCGUCGUUGGACGCGUCGUCGUGCGGGCUCGCGCUCGCGGCGGCGGCGGGGGUGCUCAUGCUGCAGGGGUCGCAGCAGGCUCUGGCCGGCACGGAGUUCAUGGGGAUGCAGGAUGUGGUGGGGGAUCUCGGUGACAUCAGUACAGGUUUCGCAUCAGCUUUUCUGUUGAUCUUCUUUUCUGAGCUAGGGGACAGAACAUUUUUCAUCGCGGCACUUCUAGCAGCUAGAAAUUCUGGAGCGAUCAUUUUUCUUGGCACAUUUGGAGCGCUUGCGGUAAUGACAAUUAUAUCUGUAGUUCUUGGACGAGCAUUUCACUAUGUUGAUGGCAUCAUUCCAUUUAGUUUUGGUGGCACAGAUUUCCCAGUUGAUGACUUUCUUGCUGCCUGUCUUUUGGUAUAUUAUGGAAUUACUACAUUGCUUGAUGCAGCUUCAGGCGAUGAAGAAAAGAUGAACGAGGAGCAAGAGGAGGCUGAGUUAGCAGUUUCAAAAUUUUUGGGAAAUGGUGCGGGGAUCAUAUCUGCUGCCAGUACUAUUGCUAGCACAUUUGUUUUGGUUUUUAUCGCCGAAUGGGGUGAUAAAUCAUUUUUCUCUACCAUCGCACUUGCUGCGGCUUCAUCUCCUCUGGGUGUCAUUGCAGGAUCACUUGCCGGUCACGCUGUUGCAACAUUGAUUGCAGUUCUUGGUGGCUCUUUGCUGGGGACGUUCUUGUCUGAAAAGAUUGUAGCAUACAUUGGAGGGAGCCUCUUUUUAGCAUUUGCUGCUGUGACACUAGUUGAGAUCGUGAAUUCGUGAAGGGGAGGAAGUUUCAAGAUUUGCCAACAAAUUACUGCACAGGUGUACAAUGAAUACAGAACUCGUGACAUAGGAACUUCAUUGUUCACAUGGAUGGAACACAAUUUGCCUGCAUCUGAUGAUAAGAUUACUUCACCAACAUUUUUCGCCGGGUAUUAAUUUACCAACAUGAUUGGUAAUCAAAUUCAGAACUCAGAACAUGUCAGAUAUUGAUAAUAGGUGGAAUGUGAGAUUACGUGAAAGCACUUUAAUUUUUUUCCCAGAACUUUUCAUUUUAACCUUUGCUCGUAUAAGUCAGAGCAUUGUAAAGUCAGAACACACUGAUUUGGACCACACCGAGGUAUAAUUUCAGAGUCUAAGGCCCUCCACAUA
Non-coding RNA from Oryza sativa Japonica Group (Japanese rice), 1467 nucleotides. Lineage: Eukaryota; Viridiplantae; Streptophyta; Magnoliopsida; Poales; Poaceae. The record is from RefSeq and is a predicted model, not a curated record.